RNAcentral lists this small RNA (72 nucleotides) under Formosa sp. Hel1_31_208. RNAcentral describes it as "Flavo-1 RNA". The record is from RNAcentral. Lineage: Bacteria; Pseudomonadati; Bacteroidota; Flavobacteriia; Flavobacteriales; Flavobacteriaceae.
GUUUUGCGUUAGUGACUGCAGAGGAAAUACUUUUGCUUUUACAAAAGAUUGAAACGAAAAGCACGGUGCUAC